This is a non-coding RNA of Homo sapiens (human), 148 nucleotides long. It matches the Rfam family "Metazoan signal recognition particle RNA". From Rfam's summary of the family: The signal recognition particle (SRP) is a universally conserved ribonucleoprotein. It is involved in the co-translational targeting of proteins to membranes. Lineage: Eukaryota; Metazoa; Chordata; Mammalia; Primates; Hominidae. The record is from Rfam.
GCUGGGCGUGGUGGCGCGCGCCUGUAGUCCCAGCUACUCAGGAGGCUGAGGUGGGAGGAUCCCUUUAGCCCAGGAGGUCGAGGCUGCAGUGAGCCGUUAUAGCGUCACUGCACUCCAGCCUGGGUGACAGAGUGAGACCCUGUCUCAA